RNAcentral lists this ribosomal RNA (484 nucleotides) under uncultured bacterium. RNAcentral describes it as "partial 16S ribosomal RNA". It matches the Rfam family "Bacterial small subunit ribosomal RNA", at positions 30 to 507 of the family's 1533-position model. The record is from RNAcentral.
AUUGAACGCUGGCGGCAGGCCUAACACAUGCAAGUCGAGCGGAUGAAGGGAGCUUGCUCCUGGAUUCAGCGGCGGACGGGUGAGUAAUGCCUAUGAAUCUGCCUGGUAGUGGGGGAUAACGUCCGGAAACGGGCGCUAAUACCGCAUACGUCCUGAGGGAGAAAGUGGGGGAUCUUCGGACCUCACGCUAUCAGAUGAUCCUAGGUCGGAUUAGCUAGUUGGUGGGGUAAAGGCCUACCAAGGCGACGAUCCGUAACUGGUCUGAGAGGAUGAUCAGUCACACUGGAACUGAGACACGGUCCAGACUCCUACGGGAGGCAGCAGUGGGGAAUAUUGGACAAUGGGCGAAAGCCUGAUCCAGCCAUGCCGCGUGUGUGAAGAAGGUCUUCGGAUUGUAAAGCACUUUAAGUUGGGAGGAAGGGCAGUAAGUUAAUACCUUGCUGUUUUGACGUUACCAGCAGAAUAAGCACCGGCUAACUUCGUG